Molecule: long non-coding RNA, 1166 nt
Organism: Siniperca chuatsi (mandarin fish)
Lineage: Eukaryota; Metazoa; Chordata; Actinopteri; Centrarchiformes; Sinipercidae
Exons: 5
Source: RefSeq, a predicted model, not a curated record
CACGUGGGAGGAAGGCCACGAUACGUGGUUGUGGUUCAUAGCCUCGGAAACAAAUAUACCUACCUACCCCGCCCCACCUUGCCUGCUCUCGCCCACCCGUCCCCUGUCUUCGCAACGGGAAGGCUGCCUGAUUGCUGGAGUGUGUACUGCAAAGAGAAGCACCGGCUCAGUCGGUGCACACGCUGCCGACAAGCCUAAUCCUCUUUUCGCCGGGAAAAGGAGGGAAUCUGGCCCCAAACAAACACGCAUCUCUGUUUGUGGCUUUCCCUGGCAUACACACAAACAUCCCAAAAACACUCCCACUGCAAGCUCCCACGCUGCAAUAAUCCAUGCAUCGGUAAAACUUUUGCAGAAACUGAGCUGGAAAGGAGAAAUGGCUGUAGGACAGAACAUCUGUAAUUAUCCCUAAUGAGCUUAUUCUAUGCAGGCUGCGAUUUAGAAAUGCAAAAGUUGGCCCACGUUGGCCUUCGCGUCGACUUUAAUGGCCAGGCGAAAGAGUUGAGGUGUCGCUUUGAACAGCAAGAACCGGCACCUGUACCUGAUCAAAUCUUCAAAGAUUUUACACACAAGUCCCCACAGAAUGAGUAGAACUUAAUAAGUAAGGCUUUUUGAAGCUGACCGUGACACCAGCUGAACCCUGACACCCUCACAUGAUUAAUAGCAUUAUGCUCAACAUGAUCAAGAUGUGCUGUUGGGAACAGAGGUGAGUUCAAGACCUGGAUGAUGCACAAUGAACAUCUUAUCAGUAGUCAUCAACCCUGCUCCCGGAGAGCUGCUGCCAUGCAUGUUUUAGGUAUCUCCCCACUCACACACCUGAUUCUAAUUAUUAACUCAUUAUCCAGCCCUUGACAAGCGUCAGUUGCUCACAUUUUUUUCACAACUGACACCAAACUAACAAAUGGUUUUUUGGUUGGCAGGUAUCUUAGCACGAUCAUGAUUUGCCCUUGGUGUGUAAGGUUGUGAGUUUGAGUUCUGGGUGAUGCAGAAUAUAUUUGCUAAUGUCUACUCAGCCAUUGUGCUGUGUGGAUUAGGAAAGUGUGAUUUCAAGGUUUAAUAACUUCUCCAUCUUCCUCCUUCUUCUUCCUCCUCCUCAAAAUGCCUGGCCCGACUCACAGCUGCGCAGCAGCAAUAAUUAUUCUUGUUUUUCAGAUGUUAUGCAUUUCCAA